AGGGUCUCAUUGUGUAGUACAGGAUGGCAUUGAACUCUGACCUUUUUGCUUUGCAGGCCUCUUGAAUGCUUGGAUUAUAGAUGGAAACAUGCCCAGCCCGAGGGGCUGAAUCAUUCUAGUUUGUCAUGUACAGAAUCAUCUUGAUGCAAUGUAGCCUUCAACUUCCCCAGCAGACAGGCUGUCUGGAGGUCACAAACAGAAAGAUGCUUCACCAGACCUACAUAUUCUUGCUAAGACAGUUGAUCACAUUGUAUGGGCCUGGGCCUACCUUCAGCAAUCCCUAGGCUGGAGGGCCCUGUUCUGGUCAGUGAGCCUCUUGGAGAGUUU
This is a long non-coding RNA of Perognathus longimembris pacificus (Pacific pocket mouse), 327 nucleotides long. RefSeq lists it as uncharacterized. The record is from RefSeq and is a predicted model, not a curated record. Lineage: Eukaryota; Metazoa; Chordata; Mammalia; Rodentia; Heteromyidae. The transcript has 3 exons.